AAGCCUUCCUUCACCCUCACCUGCUCCUUUUUUAAACCGAACCAUUUCUUUUGAACCGAACCGAACCGCUCCUUUCACCUCUCUCACUUGCCUCUUUUCUAAAUUGAACCACUCUUCUAACAUCUAAACCGAACCCUUCACUACGUCUCUGAACCUCUAAAUCAAACUGAACCGCUUCUAACAUCUAAACCGAAUUCUUUACUACGUUUCUAAACCUCUAAACCGAACUGAACUAUCUCUCUCUGAACCUCUGAACCAAACCACUCACUACAUCUUUAAACCUUUGAACCGAACCAAACUGCCUCUCUUUUUUCUAGUCUUUGUACAACAAGGAACGUUUCCUCUCCCCUCCCCUUCGCGUCAUUCAUUCUCCCCCCAUCCGUUGCAUCUUCUCUCCUUCUUUAUGCGUCGUUCCCUCUCCUCCGUGUCCGUUCUUCUCCCCCCUUCUUCUCUCUCUUAGUUUUUUUUUCUGCUUAGUUCGCUUGUUCGCCUCCCCUUUCUCUCUCUCAAGUACGCCCGUUCGCCUUGCUGCACAUCCGCACUCCUCUUCUCCCCUCCCCUCUCUUUCCUCCCAUCCUCUUCCUCACCUUGCCGCACUCAACAAUGGCUCCAUCCUCCGCGGGAACUACGGCCUCCUUCG
RNAcentral lists this long non-coding RNA (640 nucleotides) under Ananas comosus (pineapple). RNAcentral describes it as "long non-coding RNA (ACOM_LNC021023)". Lineage: Eukaryota; Viridiplantae; Streptophyta; Magnoliopsida; Poales; Bromeliaceae. The record is from RNAcentral.